RNAcentral lists this ribosomal RNA (652 nucleotides) under uncultured bacterium. RNAcentral describes it as "bacterial SSU rRNA". It matches the Rfam family "Bacterial small subunit ribosomal RNA", at positions 65 to 715 of the family's 1533-position model. The record is from RNAcentral.
UGCUUAAACGCAAUACAUAUGGUGGCGAGUGGCGGACGGGUGAGUAAUACGUAGGAAUCUGCCCUAUAGUGGGGGAUAACCCGGGGAAACCCGGGCUAAUACCGCAUAAUCUCUAUGGAGCAAAGCGGGGGCCCUUCGGGCCUUGCGCUAUAGGAUGAGCCUACGUCGGAUUAGCUAGUUGGUGGGGUAAAGGCCUACCAAGGCGACGAUCCGUAGCUGGUCUGAGAGGACGGCCAGCCACACUGGGACUGAGACACGGCCCAGACUCCUACGGGAGGCAGCAGUGGGGAAUAUUGGACAAUGGGGGCAACCCUGAUCCAGCAAUGCCGCGUGUGUGAAGAAGGCCUUCGGGUUGUAAAGCACUUUUAGUGGGGAAGAAUGGCUCAAGGCUAAUAUCCUUGAGAGGUGACGUUACCCAAAGAAAAAGCACCGGCUAACUCUGUGCCAGCAGCCGCGGUAAUACAGAGGGUGCAAGCGUUAAUCGGAAUUAUUGGGCGUAAAGCGCAUGUAGGUCGAUAUUUAAGUCGGAUGUGAAAGCCCCGGGCUCAACCUGGGAAAGCCAUUCGAUACUGGAUAUCUAGAGUAUGGUAGAGGGAAGUGGAAUUUCCGGUGUAGCGGUGAAAUGCGUAGAUAUCUGAAGGAACACCAGUGG